GUAGGUGGCAAGCGUUGUCCGGAAUUAUUGGGCGUAAAGCGCGCGCAGGUGGUUUUUUAAGUCUGAUGUGAAAGCCCACGGCUCAACCGUGGAGGGUCAUUGGAAACUGGAGAACUUGAGUGCAGAAGAGGAGAGCGGAAUUCCACGUGUAGCGGUGAAAUGCGUAGAGAUGUGGAGGAACACCAGUGGCGAAGGCGGCUCUCUGGUCUGUAACUGACGCUGAGGCGCGAAAGCGUGGGGGGGAGCAAACAGGAUUAGAUACCCUGGUAGUCCACGCCGUAAACCGAUGAGUGCUAAGUGUUAGAGGGUUUCCCGCCCUUUAGUGCUGCAGCAAACGCAUUAAGCACUCCGCCUGGGAGUACGGUCGCAGACUG
This 374-nucleotide ribosomal RNA is filed under the name uncultured organism. Its description in RNAcentral is "partial 16S ribosomal RNA". It matches the Rfam family "Bacterial small subunit ribosomal RNA", at positions 527 to 896 of the family's 1533-position model. The record is from RNAcentral.